This is a non-coding RNA of Phrynosoma platyrhinos (Desert horned lizard), 65 nucleotides long. Lineage: Eukaryota; Metazoa; Chordata; Lepidosauria; Squamata; Phrynosomatidae. The record is from the annotation of a GenBank genome assembly.
GAGUAGUGCAGUGGUUAGAGCGCUGGGCUAUGGCUCUGGCGACCUGGGUUCGAAUCCGCGCUGCA